This 450-nucleotide ribosomal RNA is filed under the name uncultured bacterium. RNAcentral's name for it is "partial 16S ribosomal RNA". It matches the Rfam family "Bacterial small subunit ribosomal RNA", at positions 29 to 522 of the family's 1533-position model. The record is from RNAcentral.
AGCGAACGCUGGCGGCAGGCCUAACACAUGCAAGUCGAGCGCCCGUAGCAAUACGGGAGCGGCAGACGGGUGAGUAACACGUGGGAACGUACCCUUCGGUUCGGAAUAACCCAGGGAAACGUGGAUUAAUACCGGAUACGUCCGUAAGGAGAAAGAUUUAUCGCCGAAGGAUCGGCCCGCGUCCGAUUAGCUUGUUGGUGGGGUAAUGGCCCACCAAGGCUACGAUCGGUAGCUGGUCUGAGAGGAUGAUCAGCCACACUGGGACUAAGACACGGCCCAGACUCCUACGGGAGGCAGCAGUGGGGAAUAUUGGACAAUGGGCGCAAGCCUGAUCCAGCCAUGCCGCGUGGGUGAUGAAGGCCCUAGGGUUGUAAAGCCCUUUCGGCGGGGAAGAUAAUGACGGUACCCGCAGAAGAAGCCCCGGCUAACUUCGUGCCAGCAGCCGCGUAA